AUGUACCCACGUACACUCCGUUCCUCCGCGCCGUCCGCACCCACCUGACGGCUGCUCGCUGCGUUUUGUUAGCC
This 74-nucleotide small RNA is filed under the name Xanthomonas campestris. Its description in RNAcentral is "sX9 sRNA". It matches the Rfam family "Xanthomonas sRNA sX9". Lineage: Bacteria; Pseudomonadati; Pseudomonadota; Gammaproteobacteria; Lysobacterales; Lysobacteraceae. The record is from RNAcentral.